UACGGAAGGUCCAAGCGUUAAUCGGAAUUACUGGGCGUAAAGCGCGCGUAGGUGGUUUAUUAAGUUGGGUGUGAAAGCCCCGGGCUCAACCUGGGAACUGCAUCCAAAACUGAUUCACUAGAGUACGAAAGAGGGAGGUAGAAUUCACAGUGUAGCGGUGGAAUGCGUAGAUAUUGUGAAGAAUAUCAAUGGCGAAGGCAGCCUCCUGGUUCUGUACUGACACUGAGGUGCGAAAGCGUGGGUAGCGAACAGGAUUAGAUACCCUGGUAGUCCACGCCGUAAACGAUGACAACUAGCUGUUGGGAAGCAAUGCUUUUCAGUGGCGCAGCUAACGUAUUAAGUUGUCCGCCUGGGGAGUACGGCCGCAAGGUUAAAACUCAAAUGAAUUGACGGGGACCCGCACAAGCGGUGGAGCAUGUGGUUUAAUUCGAUGCAACGCGAAAAACCUUACCUACUCUUGACAUCCUUGGAAUCUCUUGUAAUGAGAGAGUGCCUUUUGGAACCAAGUGACAGGUGCUGCAUGGCUGUCGUCAGCUCGUGUCGUGAGAUGUUCCGUUAAGUCGGAUAACGAGCGCAACCCUUACCCUUAUUUGCCAGCGGUUCGGCCGGGAACUAUAAGGGGACUGCCGGUGAUAAACCGGAGGAAGGUGAGGAUGACGUCAAGUCAUCAUGGCCCUUACGGGUAGGGCUACACACGUGCUACAAUGGGAAGUACAGAGGGACGCCAAAGCGUGAGCUGGAGCUAAUCUCAUAAAACUUUUCGUAGUCCGGAUUGCAGUCUGCAACUCGACUGCAUGAAGUCGGAAUCGCUAGUAAUCGCGGAUCAGCACGCCGCGGUGAAUACGUUCUCGGGUCU
This 856-nucleotide ribosomal RNA is filed under the name uncultured bacterium. RNAcentral describes it as "SSU rRNA". It matches the Rfam family "Bacterial small subunit ribosomal RNA", at positions 524 to 1381 of the family's 1533-position model. The record is from RNAcentral.